GCCGGGCGCGGUGGCGCGCGCCUGUAGUCCCAGCUACUCGGGAGGCUGAGGCCGGAGGAUCGCUUGAGUCCAGUUCUGGGCUGUCGUGCGCACUAAGUUCGGCAUCAAUAUGGUGACCUCCCGGGAGCGAGGGACCACCAGGUUGCCUAAGGAGGGGUGAACCGGCCCAGGUCGGAAACGGAGCAGGUCAAAAUAAAUCAUAACAUGUUCCUUACAGGCGGAACACAAAAGUCUAACUU
Oryctolagus cuniculus (rabbit) is the source of this 239-nucleotide unclassified non-coding RNA. It matches the Rfam family "Metazoan signal recognition particle RNA". Rfam says of the family: The signal recognition particle (SRP) is a universally conserved ribonucleoprotein. It is involved in the co-translational targeting of proteins to membranes. NCBI's taxonomy places the organism in Eukaryota, Metazoa, Chordata, Mammalia, Lagomorpha, Leporidae. The record is from Ensembl.